GCUAGUGGUGGUGGAAGCGGAUUUCCUAAGCUUUUUAUCAAGGCUCCCUUGAGACGAAUCUUCUAGGUGGAGUCUUUCCAAAGGGUAGCCUAUGAGAAGAUCAAACUCAAGCAUGGCAUAGAUGUGGAAUUCUAGGUGAACCUCAAUUUUGUCUAUCUUGAUCGACACUACCCUUGCGAUCCCUCGACAUUCAUAGAUGAGUCCCGAGGGACUCUCGAGGAGUUUGUCAAAUGGGACUAGAGGCAUGUUUCCUAAGGAAGUGUCC
This 265-nucleotide long non-coding RNA is filed under the name Setaria viridis. Its description in RNAcentral is "long non-coding RNA (SVIR_LNC001747)". Lineage: Eukaryota; Viridiplantae; Streptophyta; Magnoliopsida; Poales; Poaceae. The record is from RNAcentral.